ACGCUCGACACCUACGGGGGGCAGCAGUGGGGAAUAUUGGGCAAUGGAGGCAACUCUGACCCAGCAACGCCACGUGAGUGAUGAAGGUCUUCGGAUUGUAAAACUCUUUAAGUAGGGACGAAGAAAGUGACGGUACCUACAGAAUAAGCCUCGGCUAACUACGUGCCAGCAGCCGCGGUAAUCUGAGCGGGCUGGCAAGGC
This 201-nucleotide ribosomal RNA is filed under the name uncultured bacterium. RNAcentral describes it as "partial 16S ribosomal RNA". It matches the Rfam family "Bacterial small subunit ribosomal RNA", at positions 328 to 539 of the family's 1533-position model. The record is from RNAcentral.